RNAcentral lists this ribosomal RNA (468 nucleotides) under uncultured bacterium. RNAcentral's name for it is "partial 16S ribosomal RNA". It matches the Rfam family "Bacterial small subunit ribosomal RNA", at positions 28 to 507 of the family's 1533-position model. The record is from RNAcentral.
GACGAACGCUGGCGGCGUGCUUAACACAUGCAAGUCGAACGGAAAGGCCCUGCUUUUGUGGGGUGCUCGAGUGGCGCACGGGUGAGUAACACGUGAGUAACCUGCCCUUGACUUUGGGAUAACUUCAGGAAACUGGGGCUAAUACCGGAUAGGAGCUCCUGCUGCAUGGUGGGGGUUGGAAAGUUUCGGCGGUUGGGGAUGGACUCGCGGCUUAUCAGCUUGUUGGUGGGGUAGUGGCUUACCAAGGCUUUGACGGGUAGCCGGCCUGAGAGGGUGACCGGCCACAUUGGGACUGAGAUACGGCCCAGACUCCUACGGGAGGCAGAAGUGGGGAAUAUUGCACAAUGGGCGGAAGCCUGAUGCAGCAACGCCGCGUGCGGGAUGACGGCCUUCGGGUUGUAAACCGCUUUCGCCUGUGACGAAGCGUGAGUGACGGUAAUGGGUAAAGAAGCACCGGCUAACUACGUG